GGAGCGUCCGGGACGCGGCGGGACUCGAGUGUUUCGGAAAAGGAGCGUCUCCCCAGGCGGUGGUUGUCUUCACUAGCGAUGGGGUAAAAGGAGGACGCAAUACCUGGUUCAACUUGAGCAGGUACAUUUUGACCAUAUUCCAGGUGUCAUGUGAAGAUUUAAGCCUCUUUCCAACCCCCACUCCCCCCGAAUCUACUGCAUCCUUUUUGGAGUCUUCAUUCUUAGGCACAUUUUGUCAAGACUUAAAACCUACCAAAGAAAAGAUACACUGAGGUCAGAUCCAAUCCCACUGGGGGCCAGCGAGUGAAAUGCGACGGUUUCCUUUUAUAAUCUCUGUUUUUCAUAAUGAUGACAUUAAAAAUCUUGAGGUUUCCCAGUAGAUAUUUAAGCUGAAAGCAACAUUGUGCUUGUCUUCAGAGACCAAGACUUUCUGGCUCUUGUCUUGGAAUAUUUCGCAAAGUCAUAGGCAAAACACACACAAACAAACAGAACCAAAACACAGCAGACCACUCACGGGGGACCGAACCAGGCAGUUAGCCCAGCAUCCCCCUGCUGCGGGAGGAGGGAGCUUGGAUACUCCUCUCUGGAGAAUCCUGCUCUGGAAAUCCCCACACCCCAAAAUGCAAUGUAGAGGGGCAGUGAGUCAGCACCUCACCCCAAAUGAAUGGCCGUUCUGCUCAGCAGGCUCAACGCUUAGAUCCCCAGAUCCAGUUUCUCUUUGCUUUCUGUAAUUGGAAGAAUGGAAUAGGAUUGCUGCUAGAAAUCUUUGAGGUCACUGGUUUGAAAGUGGGAUUAUGAGCAUGAAUUUUUGUUGUUGUUGUUUGUUUGUUUUCAGACGGAGUCUCGCUAUGUUGCCCAGGCUGGGGU
Molecule: long non-coding RNA, 867 nt
Filed under: Homo sapiens (human)
Lineage: Eukaryota; Metazoa; Chordata; Mammalia; Primates; Hominidae
Description: non-protein coding GAS6-DT:13
Source: RNAcentral